RNAcentral lists this ribosomal RNA (216 nucleotides) under uncultured bacterium. Its description in RNAcentral is "partial 16S ribosomal RNA". It matches the Rfam family "Bacterial small subunit ribosomal RNA", at positions 118 to 351 of the family's 1533-position model. The record is from RNAcentral.
UGGGAACGUGCCCAAAGGUACGGAACAACUCCGGGAAACUGGAGCUAAUACCGUAUGUGCCCGAAAGGGGAAAGAUUCAUCGCCUUUGGAUCGGCCCGCGUCUGAUUAGCUAGUUGGCGGGGUAAUGGCCCACCAAGGCGACGACGGGUAGCCGGCCUGAGAGGGUGACCGGCCACACUGGGACUGAGACACGGCCCAGACUCCUACGGGAGGCAG